This 497-nucleotide ribosomal RNA is filed under the name uncultured bacterium. RNAcentral's name for it is "partial 16S ribosomal RNA". It matches the Rfam family "Bacterial small subunit ribosomal RNA", at positions 28 to 507 of the family's 1533-position model. The record is from RNAcentral.
GACGAACGCUGGCGGCGUGCUUAACACAUGCAAGUCGAACGGUGAAGCGCCUUCCUUUUUGGUGGGUGGGGAGGAGCGGCGAACGGGUGAGUAACACGUGAGUCACCUGCCCCCUUCUUCUGGAUAACCGCAUGAAAGAGUGGCUAAUACGGGAUAUUCUGGGUCGGUCGCAUGAUGGGUCUGGGACAGAUAUGGUGUCGGUGGGGGAUGGGUUCGCGGCGUAUUAGCUAGUUGGUGAGGUGAUGGCCUACCAAGGCGGCGAUGGGUAGCCGGCCUGAGAGGGUGGUCGGCGGUCACACUGCUGCUGCGAGGCGGAGAAUACUACGAGAGGCAGCAGUAGUGAAGAUUAUUCCACAAGCGGCGGAAUCAUGAUGCAGCGACGCCUCGGUAGUGAUGGUGGCCUGCGCGUUGUGAACUGCUUUCGCCAGUGAAGAAGUGCUGCAUCGUUUGUGGGUGGGUUGACGGUAGCUGAACAGGAAGCGCCGGCUAACUACGUG